This is a long non-coding RNA of Impatiens glandulifera, 441 nucleotides long. RefSeq lists it as uncharacterized. The transcript is spliced from 3 exons. Lineage: Eukaryota; Viridiplantae; Streptophyta; Magnoliopsida; Ericales; Balsaminaceae. The record is from RefSeq and is a predicted model, not a curated record.
AAAUAUGUGAAGUUUCUGCACCAUACAGGCAAUAAACAAUUUUCGCGCGUUGAAGAAAAAUUGACGGUUGAAUUCGGACGUCCACCAACUAUCAUAGAGAGGUUCAGAAAGACUCAAACUCCGAGACCCACCAAAGACAACCCGAUCCCGACGUUGAACCCAUUAUAACAAGAGAAGAUCGCGGAGAUGGAGCAAAUAAUUAGUGAAAAACCCGAUAUCUCCGACUUUGAGGUGACCGAGAAAGCCUUAGGGCCCCAACGACACGAAUAGGUGAUGGGUAUGGAGUCAGGCGUCCGGCCAUUGCGCUUUCACGGUGAUUGGUGGAGGAGCGGCAAUUCUCAACAUGAGGGUCGUCAUUAAGAGAAGAGAACCAACAACUUCGGGCGCGGGUCAAUGAAUUGGAAGAGAUAGUUCAAAGUAAUAACGAAAGAACGCAACAAC